GGCGACCCUACGAGGCUCAUCACUGGUGCGCGUACUUCAAUAGCAGGUCCACGGCCUCUGCCAGGUUGUCCACGUACCCGUCAGCCUUCACUUCUGGAUGGUGCUCGUCACUGGGCCUGGAGAGCAGGGCUACAGGGUCGGCCCAGUGGCUCCCCCGGGGCUGCGGAGGCCCCAAACCGAGAGCCUCGGAGACAACACAAGAGGGUGAGUGCGUGGGACCCCCCCUCCCCCCCCCCCCCCCACUGGGGCCAACGACCCGAGCAAGAAUAGCUCUCAUGUCAGGGCAGGUAUCCCAGGGGAUUAUUUCAUUCUUGCCAUCACGGCCAUAACCCGACGGACGCGGGACUGAAGAUUUGCGUCACCCCACGUCAGUGCCGAAACAGGUACUGGUCACCAUCAAAAGGUUGUAUGUGGCCUGGCCACUUAGCGAACCGUGCGUUGGCCCCUCCUUGUGACCCACCAGUUUCACUCCUACGUGUGCACAUAACAUGUUCCUCGAAGGACACGGACCAGAAUGUUCCUAACGGCUUCGGUCACGAUGGCAAAAAAGGGGGGAAACGGCACAAACGUCCGGCAACAGGGCCGCGGAGAGACAGGCGGCGGGAGGUGCGCGCGUCAGAACACCGCGACGCCGCGACGGCGCCACUCAGAAGGCGCUGCUGUCUACGUUGUGGCGUGGCUGGGCCCCACGGGCAGCACGACAGGCUCAAGGAACCCAAAGUGGAUGACCCACUUCUGCCAUGUUCAGGAAUGGGUGCCACCAGUCUCUACAGGGCAGAGGCCAGAAGAUGGUUACUUCUUGGGGAGGGAAUGAUCGAGGGUGCUGGCCACGUUCUAGAUCUUUACCUGGGUGGUGGUUACAGGGGUGGUGCGGAGGGCAAAACCCAUCACCCUGCUCGUUUUUAGUGUUCUUCGUAUACACACAUAUGGGUACGUAACAAAAAGUCACGUGUAAUGCAAAUUAUAUGACAAGGACAAGGCACCUAUUUCCCAUCACCGCACCUGUUCUCUGUGGCCCCUGGGCCAAACCCUGCCCGCAGCCUGCUUUUGUGCAGCUCUCCAGCUACUGUAAACAGAAAAGAAUAUGCCAGGGGUGCCUGGGUGGCUCAGUAGGUUAAGCAUCCGACUCUUGAUCUCGGCUCCGGUCACGAGCUCACGGUUCGUGAGUUCGAGCCCCACAUCAGGCUCUGCGCAGCCGGUGCAGAGCCUGCUUGGCAUUCCCUCCCCCUCGCCACUGCCCCUCCCAGGACACACGUGCCCGCUCUCUCUCAAAAUAAAUAAAUUUUUAAAAACUA
This is a long non-coding RNA of Felis catus (domestic cat), 1295 nucleotides long. RefSeq lists it as uncharacterized. The record is from RefSeq and is a predicted model, not a curated record. The transcript has 2 exons. NCBI's taxonomy places the organism in Eukaryota, Metazoa, Chordata, Mammalia, Carnivora, Felidae.